UAAACAGGUUCAAGAUGAGCAGCAAGACUCCCUAAGUCUCCCAUGUUUCAAAGGAAGACAGAAGCAAUACCCAGACCUUGAACUAUCCAUAUCCUUAAAAUGUGGAAUCAACAGAAUUGUUUCUGAAGGCUCUGCCUCUGGACAUCAGAAGAGUCAGAUGACAUGUCACCGGAAAAAGUGUGUACAGCAUGAAGGCACAUGGAAGAAAAUUCCAUCCAGGAGGAAUGACUUCACAGGCUGUAAAAUAUUGCUUCUGCCCUGGCAACAAUUUUUAAUAAAGCUGGAUGUUUUUAGCAGCUAAAGUCAAAUUUGUCUUUAGCAUCCUCCCCAUUUUAGAAACAGGACUGAAUAAACAAUUCCUGUCACACAAGAAAACUCUCUUGCUCAUUGGAAUUGGUGGGCUCUUCGGCACCCUUCCUUGGACAGAUGGACACUGGCUGGCUGUACCUGGGACAUUUGCUCACCUCUUCCUAUGGCUGACAAUCAUCUGGACCACACCAACACCAGUGGCUCCAAUCAGUGAGACAGAUCCUCAAACACUUGUAUAUCACAGGCUGUUUUUCCAUGGUGUUAUAACACUGCAUCCAUACCGCAUAGGUAGAGUUAGAGCAUCACUGAGAGAAGCCUGGACAUGUCCUUAGUAUCCAUCAGGGCUGCAAACAUCCCCUGUACUGAUGCCCAAGAAACCAUAUGUCAGAAUAGAUAACAAAACUUAAACUGAUGCGCCCCAAACUCUUUGAAUCCUUCACACCUCCUGUGAAGGUGUGAAGAAAAGCCUUUUCUCUUGCUCAGUUGACUUUUUAUAAAAAGUUCCCUGCUGUUUAAUCUCAACUAACAGUGUUGCAGUUUAAAUCAGUCAGCAUCAAUCUGUUGUGACCCUUCAGAUCAAUUACUUCUCUUCCAGCUCAGACCAUUCUUGCGAAUUAUUACCACCUCCUAAAAAUAUGGCUGUGAGGUUGCAAAGUGUCAGUUCUCCUUAGAAAGAUGAUUUAUUAAAUAAGUGGAGAAACAAGAUUUGGACUAUUUUUAGUCUUCUUUCUAUGAUGCUAUACAAAGAUUUUCUCACCGUGUUUUCCUGUUCAGCUAUGCUGGCUCUGACUUUUCACACAGUGGAAGAGGCAUCCACAGCAGUGCUCUCAUAGGGCUCUAUGCAGCGUCUUUCAAUGUUCGGUUUUGU
RNAcentral lists this long non-coding RNA (1177 nucleotides) under Manacus vitellinus (golden-collared manakin). Its description in RNAcentral is "lncRNA (ENSMVIG00005012212.1)". Lineage: Eukaryota; Metazoa; Chordata; Aves; Passeriformes; Pipridae. The record is from RNAcentral.